GUUAAGUUGCAGGGUAUAGACCCGAAACCCGGUGAUCUAGCCAUGGGCAGGUUGAAGGUUGGGUAACACUAACUGGAGGACCGAACCGACUAAUGUUGAAAAAUUAGCGGAUGACCUGUGGCUGGGGGUGAAAGGCCAAUCAAACCGGGAGAUAGCUGGUUCUCCCCGAAAGCUAUUUAGGUAGCGCCUCGUGAAUUCAUCUCCGGGGGUAGAGCACUGUUUCGGCUAGGGGGCCAUCCCGGCUUACCAACCCGAUGCAAACUGCGAAUACCGGAGAAUGUUAUCACGGGAGACACACGGCGGGUGCUAACGUCCGUCGUGAAGAGGGAAACAACCCAGACCGCCAGCUAAGGUCCCAAAGUCAUGGUUAAGUGGGAAACGAUGUGGGAAGGCCCAGACAGCCAGGAUGUUGGCUUAGAAGCAGCCAUCAUUUAAAGAAAGCGUAAUAGCUCACUGGUCGAGUCGGCCUGCGCGGAAGAUGUAACGGGGCUAAACCAUGCACCGAAGCUGCGGCAGCGAACGUAUCACCCAAGACAACUUUACGGAGUUGACGAUUGACGGAGCGAAGCGACGUCAAAGCGUUCAUUAAAGUCGAGUUGGCUUAGGGAUACGUUCGUUGGGUAGGGGAGCGUUCUGUAAGCCUGUGAAGGUGUGUCGUGAGGCAUGCUGGAGGUAUCAGAAGUGCGAAUGCUGACAUAAGUAACGAUAAAGCGGGUGAAAAGCCCGCUCGCCGGAAGACCAAGGGUUCCUGUCCAACGUUAAUCGGGGCAGGGUGAGUCGACCCCUAAGGCGAGGCCGAAAGGCGUAGUCGAUGGGAAACGGGUUAAUAUUCCCGUACUUGGUGUUACUGCGAAGGGGGGACGGAGAAGGCUAUGUUGGCCGGGCGACGGUUGUCCCGGUUUAAGGGUGUAGGUGUGUGUUCCAGGUAAAUCCGGUUCACUUUAACACUGAGGCGUGACGACGAGGCACUACGGUGCUGAAGCAACAAAUGCCCUGCUUCCAGGAAAAGCCUCUAAGCAUCAGGUAACACGAAAUCGUACCCCAAACCGACACAGGUGGUCAGGUAGAGAAUACCAAGGCGCUUGAGAGAACUCGGGUGAAGGAACUAGGCAAAAUGGUGCCGUAACUUCGGGAGAAGGCACGCUGACACGUAGGUGAAGUGAUUUACUCAUGGAGCUGAAGUCAGUCGAAGAUACCAGCUGGCUGCAACUGUUU
RNAcentral lists this ribosomal RNA (1215 nucleotides) under Salmonella enterica subsp. enterica serovar Typhimurium str. SL1344. RNAcentral's name for it is "partial 23S ribosomal RNA". It matches the Rfam family "Bacterial large subunit ribosomal RNA", at positions 694 to 1805 of the family's 2925-position model. The record is from RNAcentral. Lineage: Bacteria; Pseudomonadati; Pseudomonadota; Gammaproteobacteria; Enterobacterales; Enterobacteriaceae.